Molecule: ribosomal RNA, 1377 nt
Filed under: uncultured bacterium
Lineage: Bacteria
Description: bacterial SSU rRNA
Rfam family: Bacterial small subunit ribosomal RNA
Source: RNAcentral
CCUGGCUCACGAUGAACGCUAGCUACAGGCUUAACACAUGCAAGUCGAGGGGCAGCAUGGUCUUAGCUUGCUAAGGCCGAUGGCGACCGGCGCACGGGUGAGUAACACGUAUCCAACCUGCCGUCUACUCUUGGACAGCCUUCUGAAAGGAAGAUUAAUACAAGAUGGCAUCAUGAGUCCGCAUGUUCACAUGAUUAAAGGUAUUCCGGUAGACGAUGGGGAUGCGUUCCAUUAGAUAGUAGGCGGGGUAACGGCCCACCUAGUCUUCGAUGGAUAGGGGUUCUGAGAGGAAGGUCCCCCACAUUGGAACUGAGACACGGUCCAAACUCCUACGGGAGGCAGCAGUGAGGAAUAUUGGUCAAUGGGCGAGAGCCUGAACCAGCCAAGUAGCGUGAAGGAUGACUGCCCUAUGGGUUGUAAACUUCUUUUAUAAAGGAAUAAAGUCGGGUAUGGAUACCCGUUUGCAUGUACUUUAUGAAUAAGGAUCGGCUAACUCCGUGCCAGCAGCCGCGGUAAUACGGAGGAUCCGAGCGUUAUCCGGAUUUAUUGGGUUUAAAGGGAGCGUAGAUGGAUGUUUAAGUCAGUUGUGAAAGUUUGCGGCUCAACCGUAAAAUUGCAGUUGAUACUGGAUAUCUUGAGUGCAGUUGAGGCAGGCGGAAUUCGUGGUGUAGCGGUGAAAUGCUUAGAUAUCACGAAGAACUCCGAUUGCGAAGGCAGCCUGCUAAGCUGCAACUGACAUUGAGGCUCGAAAGUGUGGGUAUCAAACAGGAUUAGAUACCCUGGUAGUCCACACGGUAAACGAUGAAUACUCGCUGUUUGCGAUAUACUGCAAGCGGCCAAGCGAAAGCGUUAAGUAUUCCACCUGGGGAGUACGCCGGCAACGGUGAAACUCAAAGGAAUUGACGGGGGCCCGCACAAGCGGAGGAACAUGUGGUUUAAUUCGAUGAUACGCGAGGAACCUUACCCGGGCUUAAAUUGCAGAUGAAUUACGGUGAAAGCCGUAAGCCGCAAGGCAUCUGUGAAGGUGCUGCAUGGUUGUCGUCAGCUCGUGCCGUGAGGUGUCGGCUUAAGUGCCAUAACGAGCGCAACCCUUGUUGUCAGUUACUAACAGGUUCCGCUGAGGACUCUGACAAGACUGCCAUCGUAAGAUGUGAGGAAGGUGGGGAUGACGUCAAAUCAGCACGGCCCUUACGUCCGGGGCUACACACGUGUUACAAUGGGGGGUACAGAGGGCCGCUACCACGCGAGUGGAUGCCAAUCCCCAAAACCUCUCUCAGUUCGGACUGGAGUCUGCAACCCGACUCCACGAAGCUGGAUUCGCUAGUAAUCGCGCAUCAGCCACGGCGCGGUGAAUACGUUCCCGGGCCUUGUACACAC